Molecule: long non-coding RNA, 325 nt
Organism: Poecilia latipinna (sailfin molly)
Lineage: Eukaryota; Metazoa; Chordata; Actinopteri; Cyprinodontiformes; Poeciliidae
Exons: 2
Source: RefSeq, a predicted model, not a curated record
UUCAUUGCAGACCUUCUACUUCCUGGUUCUGCUGCUCUGAAAGAAGAAACUACAACCCACAUGAGCUGUGACGUCAUCAGUUACGCAACAUCCGUCACAUUUACUUUCAGUUUCAAUGACACUGUUAAAGUGCGGCUCUGAUCAGGUUGUUGGAUCUUUAUUUGUUGUUCAGAUGUUUUUCUUCGACUCUUUUGAUCGUUUGAACAAAUUGUGAAGCUAGAAAGUGUGUGUGAGCUGAUGUGAAUUCAGCAGCAUGGAUCAGUGUGAGGACAGAGAGGAGGGAGUCCCUCCCUCUAAAACCACUCUGUGUGGGGAAGAUGAGAGC